UUCCUAUUUGGGGAUGGAAACUAAUUCAGUUACAUCUGAAAAGGACACCAGUCACUCAAUAUAAACAUUUGAAUACAGAUAAUAUUUCUGCACAUGGAACGUCAUUGAGAGAAGUUAUACAAACAUGUAAAGAAAGUACAAAUUAUGGAAGUUCUGCAAAUUCUACAGGGGAAGAAGAAAAAAUUAGAAAAUAUUCCCCAGAAGAGAUUCAGAGAAAGAGACAAGAAGCUCUGAUUCGAAGAAUGUCUAAAGCACGGACAUCAUUUGUGAAUGCAGUGGAGCUCAGGGAGAUUGAACUGGGGACUACUUGCUACAAUUGGAAAUAAGGCUGAAUAACUAUCAUUCAAUACCUACAAUCAUCUCUGUGAUGAAGGUAGAUUUCUAGGUUGCUUAUCAAAGUCUUGAAA
RNAcentral lists this long non-coding RNA (407 nucleotides) under Phascolarctos cinereus (koala). RNAcentral describes it as "lncRNA (ENSPCIG00000027996.2)". The record is from RNAcentral. Lineage: Eukaryota; Metazoa; Chordata; Mammalia; Diprotodontia; Phascolarctidae.